RNAcentral lists this long non-coding RNA (981 nucleotides) under Equus caballus (horse). RNAcentral describes it as "lncRNA (ENSECAG00000048154.1)". The record is from RNAcentral. Lineage: Eukaryota; Metazoa; Chordata; Mammalia; Perissodactyla; Equidae.
CCUUCAUCUAUUAUGUAUAUAUUAGCCAAACUAGUUUUCUCUUUCGUCUUCUCCUACCAGUUUAUAUAAGGAGUGUUGGUGUUGGUUACACCUAUAGUUCAGUCUUUAAACUACAGGAUAUCAGAUAGGAUUGUGAUUGAGCUGAAAAAAAAAAAAAAGAAUAUCCAGAGAUGGGUACAGUGAUGUUUGGGUUUUCAUGCCUUGCCUUUUGAGGAAGAGGGUAGAGUAACUAAGGACAGCUAUGAAAUCUGCAAAGGAAACUAGAAGAGACCAGCAGGACAAAGAGGCAGCAUGAGGAGCCACUGUGAGCUAGUAUGCGUGCUUGCAUUUCAGUAACGUAAUGGAGGCUGGAAGUCAAGACCAGGGUUCCCGAAUGAUCAGGUAGAAUGCCAGCAGAUGUGAAAUGAACAGUGCUACAGCCUUCCAGCAGUCCUAGCACAAGGAAUAGAUAAGCCACUGAGUAUCAGGGUUGUUUGUUAUGCAGCAUUGUUGCAGCAACAGCUGAUGAAUACACUUGACCUAAGGUUUGUAGGAAAAUGACCAAGAGGUCUUUAAAUGUGCUUGCAUGGUUUGUCUUUGUCUUUUGUAUUCCUCUCAUCUCCCAUGAGAUGUCCUAUAGCCACUCAUCCCAGGAGAAUGCAGACACAAGUGGAGCAGAUCUGAAUCCAACUUGCAGCCUGGAAAAGUCCACCCAAUCUCAACUCAGCCCGGCAGAGAUGCAAACUACCAGCAGAACUGUACACAGGAAAUUAAUGUUUGUUUCAAGCUGAUGAGUGUUGGAACUGCCUAGCAUUCACCCUUAUUUCAACCAUAGCUGGUGAAGAUGCAGUGAGAAGGCAGCCACUGCAAGUCAGGAAGAGAGCUCUCGCCAGAAACCCACCAUGCUGGUGUCCUAAUCUCAGGAUUCCAGCCUCCAGAACUGAGGAAAACCAAGUAGGAUAUGAAAUCCCCCCUUCCUCACUACCACAGGUUGGCAAAGAC